UACGGAGGGUGCGAGCGUUGUCCGGAAUCAUUGGGCGUAAAGGGCGCGUAGGUGGCGGGACAAGCGUGCGGUGAAAGCCUGGGGCUCAACCCCGGGUCGGCCGUGCGAACUGUUUUGCUUGAGCGCUGUAGAGGCAGGCGGAAUUCCGGGUGUAGCGGUGGAAUGCGUAGAGAUCCGGAAGAACACCGGUGGCGAAGGCGGCCUGCUGGGCAGUAGCUGACACUGAGGCGCGACAGCGUGGGGAGCAAACAGG
This 253-nucleotide ribosomal RNA is filed under the name uncultured bacterium. RNAcentral's name for it is "partial 16S ribosomal RNA". It matches the Rfam family "Bacterial small subunit ribosomal RNA", at positions 524 to 776 of the family's 1533-position model. The record is from RNAcentral.